RNAcentral lists this non-coding RNA (26 nucleotides) under Mus musculus (house mouse). The record is from RNAcentral. Lineage: Eukaryota; Metazoa; Chordata; Mammalia; Rodentia; Muridae.
UGCUGUAUGAGACAGGCGAUGUGCUU